UACGUAGGUGGCAAGCGUUGUCCGGAUUUACUGGGCGUAAAGAGCGUGUAGGCGGCCAGGUAGGUCAGCUGUGAAAACUCGAGGCUCAACCUCGAGCUGUCGGCUGAAACCAUCUGGCUAGAGUCCGGAAGAGGAGAAUGGAAUUCCCGGUGUAGCGGUGAAAUGCGCAGAUAUCGGGAAGAACACCCGUGGCGAAGGCGGUUCUCUGGGACGGUACUGACGCUGAGACGCGAAAGCGUGGGGAGCGAACAGG
Molecule: ribosomal RNA, 253 nt
Filed under: uncultured bacterium
Lineage: Bacteria
Description: partial 16S ribosomal RNA
Rfam family: Bacterial small subunit ribosomal RNA
Source: RNAcentral